RNAcentral lists this long non-coding RNA (308 nucleotides) under Salmo salar (Atlantic salmon). RNAcentral describes it as "lncRNA (ENSSSAG00000094313.1)". The record is from RNAcentral. Lineage: Eukaryota; Metazoa; Chordata; Actinopteri; Salmoniformes; Salmonidae.
UACAUACAUACACACUGUAUAUAUAUAUACACGUACAUACAUACAUACACACUGUAUAUAUAUACGUACAUACAUACAUACAUACACACUGUAUAUAUAUACAUACGUGUACAUACAUACAUACAUACACACUGUAUAUAUAUACAUACAUACGUGGAGUGUAUCUCUGUGCACAAACAGAGUAAUGAGACCCUACUGUAAAUCAGCCAGACAGUAACACAUUAUAAACAUCGAUUUGUUUGGGAUGUUGGAUCCAACGUGGAGCACGGCAUAACUGUCUUUACCAGAGUAAUGAAUGAAGAAGCACU